This is a long non-coding RNA of Esox lucius (northern pike), 1361 nucleotides long. Lineage: Eukaryota; Metazoa; Chordata; Actinopteri; Esociformes; Esocidae. The record is from Ensembl.
GAACCUGCCAUUAUCCAUUUCAUUAAGAAGGACAGGAAAAUCAGUUUCCAAUGAUCUUCAUCGUGGCUGUAGGUGUUGCUGUAGGAAUGGCUGUGGGAGUUUCUGUUGGUAUUGCUGUGUGUGUAAUUGCUGCAGUCGUCAUAGUACACAGUGAAAACACGAAUCAAAUUCCAGCUGAUGGCAGCCUUAGUCAACCUGUUGAAAGUAUCACCUAUGCCUUCAUCGACCACUCCAUCAACCAUUCCUCUCAGAGAAUUAACGUCGAUGGUGAAGAUGCAGUCACCUAUGUCUCAGCUAUGACCUCUUCUGACAGAGGAAGAGAGACAGAGAACUCUGCAAACACCAGCCCUCUCUAUUCUACUGUGUAUCAACCUUACAGACCCAAGACAUCAACAUGAAGACUACACUCACUCAUUCACACAUUCUAUAAAAUCAGUAUACAGAUAUACAGUCAGGUCUGGAAAUAACUGGACACUGACACAAGUUUUUGACUGUUUACCAAAAUGUAUUCAAGUUACAGUUAAAUAAUGAUGAUGGGCAUAAAGUGCAGUCUCUGAGCUUAAAUCUGAGGGUGAAGGGUUUAGGAAUUGCACAUCUUUAAUAUGUAGCCCCUCCUUUUUCAAGGGACCAAAAGUCAAUGGACAUUUGACCCAAAAGCUGUUUCAUGGACAGGUGUGGGUUAUUCCUUUGGUAUUUCUAUAUAGGCAGGUAAACGGUCUGGAGUUGAUUCCAGGUGUGGCAUUCACAUUUGGAAGCUGUUGCUGUGAACCCACAUCAUGCGGUCAAAGGAGCUCUCAAUGCAAGUGAAACAGGCCAUUAGGCAGCAAAAAACUAAAAUCCAUCAGAGAGAUAGCAGGAAUAUUAAGAGUGGCCAAAUCAAUGGUUUGAUACAUUCUGAGAAAAAAAGAACAUACUGGUGAGCUCUGCAACACAAAAUGGCUCAUGAAGCAUAACAAAUUUGUCCAAUUACAUUUGAGCCUGAAAUAAGGGGAUUGUGUACAAUUUUUUUUGCAAUUCCUAAAAAUCUCUUAUGAUUUUUUUGUUCAACCCCUUGAAUUAAAGCUGAAAGUCUGCACUUCAAUUGCAUCUCAGUUGUUUCAUUUCAAAUCCAUUGUGGUGGUGUACACUGCCAGAAUUAUGAAAAUUGUGUUAGUGUCCACAUUUUUCUGGACCUACAUGUAUAUUUUGUGUGAUAGCAAGCUACUCAAUUUGGUUCCGGGAACAUGUGUUUUCAUUCAGUUAAGGUAGACGUGUUAAGUCAGAAGGGUGUCUGACAGAGACUGGCACAAAUUACAAUUAUUUAAUACAAUGACCAAUGUUUGUACAAUGUUUACAAAUUCAUUAAAAUGUUGUUCUAUCCA